GAGUUUGAUCUUGGCUCAGAUUGAACGCUGGCGGCAGGCCUAACACAUGCAAGUCGAGCGGAUGAGAGGAGCUUGCUCCUUGAUUCAGCGGCGGACGGGUGAGUAAUGCCUAGGAAUCUGCCUGAUAGUGGGGGACAACGUUUCGAAAGGAACGCUAAUACCGCAUACGUCCUACGGGAGAAAGCAGGGGACCUUCGGGCCUUGCGCUAUCAGAUGAGCCUAGGUCGGAUUAGCUAGUAGGUGAGGUAACGGCUCACCUAGGCGACGAUCCGUAACUGGUCUGAGAGGAUGAUCAGUCACACUGGAACUGAGACACGGUCCAGACUCCUACGGGAGGCGAGCAGUGGGGAAUAUUGGACAAUGGGCGAAAGCCUGAUCCAGCCAUGCCGCGUGUGUGAAGAAGGUCUUCGGAUUGUAAAGCACUUUAAGUUGGGAGGAAGGGCUGCAAGUUAAUACCUUGUAGUUUUGACGUUACCAACAGAAUAAGCACCGGCUAACUUCGU
Molecule: ribosomal RNA, 503 nt
Filed under: uncultured Gammaproteobacteria bacterium
Lineage: Bacteria; Pseudomonadati; Pseudomonadota; Gammaproteobacteria
Description: bacterial SSU rRNA
Rfam family: Bacterial small subunit ribosomal RNA
Source: RNAcentral